AAUCCCUCCUGGGAAACUAUACUGAAUCUUUACCUGUAAGUGGUUAAGAAGCUCAAAUAACCUGGUUGGCACCUGACCAAAAGGACCAAUAAGGAAAGAAGAUACUUUCAAAUCCGGAGGGUUGGGGGGAAGUUUUGUUUGUGCUCUCUUUGUUUUUUUCCCCUCUCCGGAUGGAGAGAGAGACUAGGCAGGGACAACAUCUCCUGAAAACAUACCUGAAAUGAUUCAUCUAAGAUUACAAAAAUUGUGGAUAUGGGCUAUUUCAUUUUUGUUCGUUUCAGGUGAAUUUCAUGCUGGUCGACAAGGAGCCCAGCCGUCAACAGAAAUCAGAAGCCAAGCGAAGACUGCAAGUGUUGCUGUGAGUGACUGCAUGAUGUGAUGGAUGGAAGUGGAAACAUAUCCAUUUGCCUGCUGUGUUUCCAGAGGGUACAGCAACAGUUAAGUUGCCUUCAGCAAGAGGGCCCAGAUGAUGAAAGCACUUGAGCGUGGACUUAAGCCCAGGCUUACAGAGACAUUAUUAAAUGAACAUCCCUCCUUACUUCUAAUCUGCAAAUGCAGUUUUGACCAGUGAAGGAGACAUCUUAAUUUUUACUGGAGACAUUCUUGACACUGCCACAACCACAACACUACAAUCCAGACUUCCAGAUUCUA
Long non-coding RNA from Mauremys reevesii (Reeves's turtle), 651 nucleotides. RefSeq lists it as uncharacterized. The record is from RefSeq and is a predicted model, not a curated record. Lineage: Eukaryota; Metazoa; Chordata; Testudines; Geoemydidae. The transcript has 6 exons.